AUUCUACUAGGACGUUGGUGACUGCCAAUAUCGUUUUUUGAUCUAUGUCCGUUUUGAAAAGGGAACUUAGUAGUCUCAUGGCAGUAGACCGGGCAUGUACCCGGAAACUUCAAAUGAGAUUCAAUGGUACCCACCUGGUGAAACCAGGUCAUAAACUGAGGUAAGACGGCGUUUCGGGGAAUGU
Molecule: non-coding RNA, 184 nt
Filed under: Cyanobacteria bacterium UBA8553
Lineage: Bacteria; Bacillati; Cyanobacteriota
Description: 6S RNA
Rfam family: 6S / SsrS RNA
About the family: E. coli 6S RNA was the first non coding RNA to be sequenced, but its function was unknown until recently. It consists of 184 nucleotides that fold into an extended hairpin structure with a large single-stranded internal bulge.
Source: RNAcentral